Molecule: non-coding RNA, 90 nt
Filed under: human gut metagenome
Description: Pyrrolysine insertion sequence mtbB
Rfam family: Pyrrolysine insertion sequence mtbB
Source: RNAcentral
UAGGUAGGCGUCGGUGACUGCUAUGGCAUGCCGAUCAAUCACUCCGUGGCCGCAGGUCUGGGCGGUAUCCGCACGGCGGGAGAUCUCGUC